Cotesia glomerata is the source of this 1120-nucleotide RNA transcript. It is a transcript of the gene named essential MCU regulator, mitochondrial, with no coding region annotated. NCBI's taxonomy places the organism in Eukaryota, Metazoa, Arthropoda, Insecta, Hymenoptera, Braconidae. The record is from RefSeq and is a predicted model, not a curated record. The transcript is spliced from 3 exons.
UGGAUGCACUAGGUGCAUUACAUAUAAAUAUUUUAGUUUUUUAUUUUUUUACAAAAUUUUUCGCUUUUCCGCAAUCAUAUGUUUCAAGACUUAAAAUACUGUCAGUUUUUCAGGUGCUUGAAAAUUUGCGAAUCAACCUUUAAUGAAGUUGAUAUAUACGGUUGAAAUUUGCGUUUUAUGUUAAUUCGCAUGGAAAUACUCGACCGCGCUGGUUAUGAUUAACAAUAAAUGAUAAAAUUUGAGUGAAAAAUAAUUUAAUUCAAGAAUAUUGUCCUUAAUUAUACUAGUUGCUUAAUUAAACGAUUUAUUUAUAGUACUUAAUUGACACUGUCAUUAUAUUUACACAGACUUGGUUUAUUUUUAAAAAUAAUUAUCUGCUUGUUUUUAUUCCGGAUAAUAAACAGUGAAUAAAAAGUUUUAAAAUCAGUGUUUCCAUAUUUUGAAAAAAUGUCGGUCUCAAAUCUAAGACAAGUAAUCUGGAAAUUGAAUAGCUUGAAGAUGACAAAUUUAAAAUACCACACGCAAACGAGUUCAAUAACUACCAGAUCCGGAGCCAUCCUUCCUGAGCCUAAGACCCAGCCACUUGGAUGGGUUGGAGUUAUUGCUGGAGUAUCCCUGGGGCUUCUUAUUGGAGCAACAAUUAGUAAAAACAUAGCCAAUUUCUUAGAAGAAAAUGAUUUAUUUGUUCCAUCCGAUGACGACGGCGAUGAUGAUUAAGUAUUUAUUUUUACAAAUCAAUAACAACUGUAACUAGGUAUCAACUAUUCCGAGACGUAGAGCAAAUAAAUAUCAUCAGGAUGAUACGUUAAGAUCAAGCCUGUCGCUGCUACAUUAUAUUACUUCAAGAAAAAGUACUUCCUACUCACUUGCUCAGAAUGUUCUAGAUGGCUUUAUUCCUAUAAUUUCAACCUCAAGAAUGUAUUUAUUAAUUUUAAAAAUAAAUAAGUCAAUCAUUAUAUUAAAUUUUUUUUGUUAUAGUUUAAGAAGAAUAUAGUUUUUUCAGUAAAAAAAAAAAAUAUUUAUUGUAAAAGCGUAUUUUAUGUUACUUAUUUUUCUCUGUAUAUUUUAUUUUAAAGUUCAAUUGUAUUUAAUAUAAUAAAAAUUCUUUACUAUAUUAUAA